AAAAACAUCACCUCUUGAAAAUAUAUAAGAGGCCUCGCCUGCCCUGUGACUAUAUGUUUAACGGCCGCGGUAUUCUGACCGUGCGAAGGUAGCGCAAUCAAUUGUCUUUUAAAUGGGGACCUGUAUGAAUGGCGCGACGAGGGCUUGACUGUCUCCUUUUCUCGGUCAAUGAAAUUGAUCUCCCCGUGCAGAAGCGGGGGUGUAUAUAUAAGACGAGAAGACCCUGUGGAGCUUUAGACGCUGAAACAGCCAAACGUUAAACUGUUUUAUUAAAAAACAACAACCUAGUAAUCCCUGUUUUCAUGUCUUUGGUUGGGGCGACCAUGGAGUAAAAGAAAACCUCCACGUGGAACGAGAGUACUACUCCCCAAAACCAGGGCUACCGCCCUAAGUAUCAGAACUUCUGACCUUACAGAUCCGGUUUUACACCGAUUAACGAAUCAAGUUACCCUAGGGAUAACAGCGCAAUCUCCUUUAAAAGACCAUAUCUAAAAGGGGGUUUACGACCUCGAUGUUGGAUCAGGGCAUCCUAUUGGUGCAGCCGCUAUUAAGGGUUCGUUUGUUCAACGAUUAAAGUCCUACGUGAUCUG
This 590-nucleotide ribosomal RNA is filed under the name Antennarius pictus (painted frogfish). RNAcentral describes it as "partial 16S ribosomal RNA". It matches the Rfam family "Bacterial large subunit ribosomal RNA", at positions 1809 to 2607 of the family's 2925-position model. The record is from RNAcentral. Lineage: Eukaryota; Metazoa; Chordata; Actinopteri; Lophiiformes; Antennariidae.